CUACUGGGGUUUCUAAUCCUGUUUGCUCCCCACGCUUUCGUGCCUCAGUGUCAGUGUUGGCCCAGGAUGCCGCCUUCGCCACGGAUGUUCCUUCUGAUCUCUACGCAUUUCACUGCUACACCAGAAAUUCCGCAUCCCUCUACCACACUCUAGUGAUCCAGUAUCCACUGCAAUUCCCAGGUUGAGCCCAGGGCUUUCACAACGGACUUAAACCACCACCUACGCACGCUUUACGCCCAGUAAUUCCGAGUAACGCUUGCACCCUUCGUAUUACCGCGGCUGCUGGCAC
Molecule: ribosomal RNA, 289 nt
Filed under: uncultured Pseudoxanthomonas sp.
Lineage: Bacteria; Pseudomonadati; Pseudomonadota; Gammaproteobacteria; Lysobacterales; Lysobacteraceae
Description: partial 16S ribosomal RNA
Source: RNAcentral